AUUCCAGCUCCAAUAGCGUAUAUUAAAGUUGUUGCAGUUAAAACGCUCGUAGUUGGAUUUGUGGUUGGAGCGGUCGGUCCGACACUCUGUGUGGGUACUUGACUGUCUCCGUCCAUCCUUGGGUGGAACCUGUGAGGCAUUAGGUUGUCGUGCAGGGGAUGCCCAUCUUUUACUGUGAAUAAAUUAGAGUGUUCAAAGCAGGCUUACGCCGUUGAAUAUGCUAGCAUGGAAUAAUAAGAUAGGACCUUGGUACUAUUUUGUUGGUUUGCGCACCGAGGUAAUGAUUAAUAGGGACAGUUGGGGGUAUUCGUAUUGCACUGUCAGAGGUGAAAUUCUUGGAUUUUUGCAAGACGAACGACUGCGAAAGCAUUUACCAAGGAUGUUUUCAUUA
Molecule: ribosomal RNA, 391 nt
Filed under: Plagiostriata sp.
Lineage: Eukaryota; Bacillariophyta; Fragilariophyceae; Staurosirales; Staurosiraceae
Description: partial small subunit ribosomal RNA
Rfam family: Eukaryotic small subunit ribosomal RNA
Source: RNAcentral